This 254-nucleotide ribosomal RNA is filed under the name uncultured bacterium. RNAcentral's name for it is "partial 16S ribosomal RNA". It matches the Rfam family "Bacterial small subunit ribosomal RNA", at positions 524 to 776 of the family's 1533-position model. The record is from RNAcentral.
UACAGAGGGAGCGAGCGUUAUCCGGAAUGAUUGGGCGUAAAGCGUCUGUAGGUGGUUUAGUAAGUCUACUGUCAAAUACCAAGGCUCAACCUUGGGCAGGCAGUAGAGUACUUUUAGACUAGAGUGUGGUAGAGGUAGAGGGAAUCCCUAGCGUAACAGUGAAAUGUGUAGAUUUUAGGGAGAACACCAGCGGCGAAGGCGCUCUACUGGGCCAAGACUGACACUGAGAGACGAAAGCUAGGGGAGCGAAUAGG